AGCAGCCGCCACGGUAAUACGUAGGUCCCGAGCGUUGUCCGGAUUUAUUGGGCGUAAAGGGAGCGCAGGCGGUUUAGUAAGUCUGAAGUUAAAGGCAUUGGCUCAACCAAUGUAUGCUUUGGAAACUGUUAGACUUGAGUGCAGAAGGGGAGAGUGGAAUUCCAUGUGUAGCGGUGAAAUGCGUAGAUAUAUGGAGGAACACCGGUGGCGAAAGCGGCUCUCUGGCUUGUAACUGACGCUGAGGCUCGAAAGCGUGGGGAGCAAACAGGAUUAGAUACCCCUGUAGUCCCUGUCUCUUAUACA
RNAcentral lists this ribosomal RNA (303 nucleotides) under uncultured bacterium. Its description in RNAcentral is "partial 16S ribosomal RNA". It matches the Rfam family "Bacterial small subunit ribosomal RNA", at positions 507 to 808 of the family's 1533-position model. The record is from RNAcentral.